This 46-nucleotide non-coding RNA is filed under the name Schistosoma margrebowiei. Lineage: Eukaryota; Metazoa; Platyhelminthes; Trematoda; Strigeidida; Schistosomatidae. The record is from RNAcentral.
GCACUGCUAAAGAGUCCCACGAUAGGACGAAACGGCCGUCCAGUGA